GGCAGCAGAGCCUCUCCUCAGUCAUGGUGAGGACAGAGGACGGAAUGGGUUUCCAUCGUCUCGUCACACCAGGAAGUCCAACUCCCUGGACACAGGUUCUGAGGGUGGGAACAGAGACGCGUUAUGACGUUUCCUGAGGACGGAGAGGAGGCUGCUGGGAAAGGCUGACUGGAUCACAGAGACCUGGAGCGAGACCAGCUUUUAAAACUGUGUGGACUCAAAUGAAAAAGCUUC
Molecule: long non-coding RNA, 234 nt
Organism: Nematolebias whitei (Rio pearlfish)
Lineage: Eukaryota; Metazoa; Chordata; Actinopteri; Cyprinodontiformes; Rivulidae
Exons: 3
Source: RefSeq, a predicted model, not a curated record